GAUGAACGCUGGCGGCGUGCUUAACACAUGCAAGUCGAACGGAAAGGCUCCUGCUUGCAGGGGUACUCGAGUGGCGAACGGGUGAGUAACACGUGGGUGAUCUGCCCUGCACUUCGGGAUAAGCCUGGGAAACUGGGUCUAAUACCGGAUAGGACGAUGGUUUGGAUGCCAUUGUGGAUAGUUUUUUCGGUGUGGGAUGAGCUCGCGGCCUAUCAGCUUGUUGGUGGGGUAAUGGCCUACCAAGGCGUCGACGGGUAGCCGGCCUGAGAGGGUGUACGGCCACAUUGGGACUGAGAUACGGCCCAGACUCCUACGGGAGGCAGCAGUGGGGAAUAUUGCACAAUGGGCGCAAGCCUGAUGCAGCGACGCCGCGUGGGGGAUGACGGCCUUCGGGUUGUAAACUCCUUUCGCUAGGGACGAAGCGCAAGUGACGGUACCUGGAGAAGAAGCACCGGCUAACUACGUG
RNAcentral lists this ribosomal RNA (466 nucleotides) under uncultured bacterium. Its description in RNAcentral is "partial 16S ribosomal RNA". It matches the Rfam family "Bacterial small subunit ribosomal RNA", at positions 28 to 507 of the family's 1533-position model. The record is from RNAcentral.